CUUGACCUCAGAUCAGGCAAGGCUACCCGCUGAAUUUAAGCAUAUCAAUAAGCGGAGGAA
Molecule: ribosomal RNA, 60 nt
Filed under: Parazoanthus juan-fernandezii
Lineage: Eukaryota; Metazoa; Cnidaria; Anthozoa; Zoantharia; Parazoanthidae
Description: Parazoanthus juanfernandezii partial 28S ribosomal RNA
Rfam family: Eukaryotic large subunit ribosomal RNA
Source: RNAcentral